Molecule: small nuclear RNA, 22 nt
Filed under: Arabidopsis thaliana (thale cress)
Lineage: Eukaryota; Viridiplantae; Streptophyta; Magnoliopsida; Brassicales; Brassicaceae
Description: snRNA_08038
Source: RNAcentral
UGCAUUAUGUUCAGAACGGUAC